RNAcentral lists this ribosomal RNA (442 nucleotides) under uncultured bacterium. RNAcentral's name for it is "partial 16S ribosomal RNA". It matches the Rfam family "Bacterial small subunit ribosomal RNA", at positions 339 to 795 of the family's 1533-position model. The record is from RNAcentral.
CUACGGGUUGCUGCAGCAAGGAAUAUUGGGCAAUGGGCGAAAGCCUGACCCAGCGACACCGCGUGGGGGAAGAAUGCCUUCGGGUUGUAAACCCCUUUUCCCGGGGAAGAAAUACAUGACGGUACCCGGGGAAUAAGCCUCGGCUAAAUACGUGCCAGCAGCCGCGGUAAUACGUAUGAGGCGAGCGUUAUCCGGAUUUACUGGGCGUAAAGCGGGUGUAGGCGGCCUGUCAAGUCGGAUGUGAAAUCUCCCGGCUCAACCGGGAGGGUGCGUUGGAAACUGAUGGGCUAGAGUGCAGUAGAGGAAAGCGGAAUUCUCGGUGUAGUGGUGAAAUGCGUAGAUAUCGAGAAGAACACUAGUGGCGAAGGCGGCUUUCUGGGCUGUAACUGACGCUCAGACCCGAAGGCGUGGGUAGCAAACAGGAUUAGAUACCCGAGUAGUC